This is a long non-coding RNA of Alosa sapidissima (American shad), 1120 nucleotides long. RefSeq lists it as uncharacterized. The transcript has 2 exons. The record is from RefSeq and is a predicted model, not a curated record. Lineage: Eukaryota; Metazoa; Chordata; Actinopteri; Clupeiformes; Clupeidae.
UUUUCCAACAUAAUCUAUGAAUAUAAGAGUAAACAUUACUCUUGAAUAAACAUCAAAAGUCAUCAAAAGCAGUUAUGACCACCAUGAGUUGACAUUAUUUUAAAACGCCAUUAGAAUUACAAAUAAUGUCUAUGGGUGGUUUUGGAUGAAAUGUUCAGUCCUUCCCUAUUGCUUUAGCAACAUACAGUAAGACAGCAGAACAUACAUACUGUAACUUAUUUCAUGAAUGUCCUCAUAUCAUAUUGCAAAUGCAUUUAACUGUUACGGAUUUGAAGUAACAUCAGACCAAGAAAUAUGAUCACAAAUGCAAGUCUACAAACUCUUAUGUAAACAUCAACAAUCCUCCAUCAGACCUUCAUCAUCAGAUCUUUCAACCAUGUGUGAACUAAACCUUCUAAUCCAUGCUGGAGUUGUAAGCCAAUAGGGGGAGACAUUGCAAAGAUCAUAACAAAUGCAGUCACGAUCACUAUGUUUUGACAUCCCAUUGUACAGAUGGUGAUGUGCUCUGCAUCAGAGUUAUUUGUAUAAUUGUGUCAAAGCGUUUUAUGAUGUAUCAACUUCUACUGUUAAGCCAAGUGUUAGGGUACAGCAUUGGCGUAACGUUUGAUCAGCCUCCAUCAUUUACUGCACAACUUAAUAAAACAGUGAAUAUCAAUUGUAGCCAUGAUGACAAAAAUCUUGAUGUAAUGUUAUGGUAUAUUCAAAACACAGUCAAUAAUAACGCUAUGGUAUUAAUUGGAUAUAUUUAUGCCAAGCUUGACCCCACCUAUGAGGACAUGUUCAAGUCUAACAAAAAGUUUCUGAUGGAAAGAAUAACCGAUGUCAGUGCAUCACUGACGAUCUUAAAUCCAAAUCUGCAAGACUCUGCUGUGUACUUCUGUGCAGCCAAAGAACCCACAGCGCUUAAUCUGCAGGUCCCUCCCGUUACUCAAACCCUGGCACUUGUAAGAAGCUACUACAUGCUCUGUACUCAAAAGGUUUACUGUCAUUUCAUUUGUGUUGUUUAGAUCAGUCCAUUUUUCAUGAUGUUAGAGUGCAAAGCUAUGCUGAGAAUGACAUUGUACUGUUACUCUGCUUUAUUUCAAGAAUAAAAAUACAGUUAUAAAAAAAUGAACGUGAA